This 406-nucleotide ribosomal RNA is filed under the name uncultured bacterium. RNAcentral describes it as "partial 16S ribosomal RNA". It matches the Rfam family "Bacterial small subunit ribosomal RNA", at positions 29 to 526 of the family's 1533-position model. The record is from RNAcentral.
AUUGAACGCUGGCGGCAGGCCUAACACAUGCAAGUAGAGCGAGCGGCGGACGGGCGAGUAAUUUCUGGGAACCUGCCUGAUGGAGGGGGAUAACUACUGGAAACGGUAGCUACUACCGCAUACCAUCAGAUGUGCCCAGAUGGGAUUAGCUAGUCGUUUGGGUAACGGCUCACCUAGGCGACGACCCCUAGCUGGUCUGAGAGGAUGACCAGCAACACUGGAACGAAGACACGGUCCAGACUCCUCGGGGAGGCAGCAGAGGGGAAUUUUGCACAAGGGGCGCAAGCCUGAUGCAGCAAUGCCGCGUGUGUGAAGAGGGCCUUCGGGUGGUAAAGCACUUUCAGAGGGGAGGCGGUACCCGCAGAAGAAGCACCGGCUAACUCCGUGCCAGCAGCCGCGGUAAUUC